CGGUGCCAACCCCACUCUCCCCAGAUUAACCUGUUCAGCUUCACACACACACACUCUCCUACUUUCUGGAAAAGCUGAGAGCCUCCACCCCCCCAGAUUAACCCUCGCCUUCCUGACCUGGUGCCUGGCUUCCAUUAACUCCUUCCUGACCACAGAGUCAGUGCUGGCGAGGACCUUUGGGCCAGGUCCAGCUCCUUUCUUUUACAGAUGGCCACACAGGCCCUGACAGGGCCCUGGACGGGAGCAAGGGUCGGAAGGAGGGCAGCCGCCAUCGCAGACCUCACGCCACCCUGUCUCAACAUCUUCAUCCACAUCUCCAGCAGCCCCACCCCCAGCCCUGUCUUCAUCUGGGUGCCUUCAGGUGCACUGCAGGGAACGAAACAUCCGAUCUAGAAGUCAAGUGGGGAACACAGGAGAGAGGGGUUUCUGUGGCAAGAAUUCUACCCUCUGCCUGGACAAACAUUUCAUAAAUUUUUGUAUCUUUA
This is a long non-coding RNA of Talpa occidentalis (Iberian mole), 485 nucleotides long. RefSeq lists it as uncharacterized. The record is from RefSeq and is a predicted model, not a curated record. Lineage: Eukaryota; Metazoa; Chordata; Mammalia; Eulipotyphla; Talpidae. The transcript has 3 exons.